ACCAGACUCCUACGGGAGGCAGCAGUGGGGGAUAUUGCACAAUGGGGGAAACCCUGAUGCAGCGACGCCGCGUGAGUGAAGAAGUAUUUCGGUAUGUAAAGCUCUAUCAGCAGGGAAGAAAAAAGACGGUACCUGACUAAGAAGCCCCGGCUAACUACGUGCCAGCAGCCGCGGUAAUACGUAGGGGGCAAGCGUUAUCCGGAUUUACUGGGUGUAAAGGGAGCGUAGACGGCAAUACAAGUCGGAAGUGAAAUACCCGGGCUCAACCUGGGAACUGCUUUGGAAACUGUAUGGCUGGAGUGCUGGAGAGGUAAGCGGAAUUCCUAGUGUAGCGGUGAAAUGCGUAGAUAUUAGGAGGAACACCAGUGGCGAAGGCGGCUUACUGGACUGUAACUGACGUUGAGGCUCGAAAGCGUGGGGAGCAAACAGGAUUAGAUACCCGAGUAUCG
This 449-nucleotide ribosomal RNA is filed under the name uncultured bacterium. Its description in RNAcentral is "bacterial SSU rRNA". It matches the Rfam family "Bacterial small subunit ribosomal RNA", at positions 330 to 793 of the family's 1533-position model. The record is from RNAcentral.